GAUGAAGAACGUAGCGAAAUGCGAUAAGUAAUGCGAAUUGCAGAAUUCCGUGAGUCAUCGAAUCUUUGAACGCACAUUGCGCCCUCUGGUAUUCCGGAGGGCAUGCCUGUCUGAGCGUCAUUGUCAACCCUCAAGCUCAGCUUGCUGUUGGGUCCCCGUCGUUGCUUUAACGGCGGACCCGAAAGGUAAUGGCAGAGUCCGUGAGACCCUAGACGCAGCGAGCUUCUAGCACGCGUCUGGACGUUUUUCGGGCUCGGUCUUAACUAGAUGAUAACUUCCGAUUGACCUCAGAUCAGGUAGGGAUACCCGCUGAACUUAAGCAUAUCAAAAGCGGAGGA
RNAcentral lists this unclassified non-coding RNA (338 nucleotides) under soil metagenome. RNAcentral's name for it is "partial contains 5.8S ribosomal RNA, internal transcribed spacer 2, and large subunit ribosomal RNA". The stretch from base 1 to 120 matches the Rfam family "5.8S ribosomal RNA", at positions 35 to 154 of the family's 154-position model. The record is from RNAcentral.